UAGAGUUUGAUCCUGGCUCAGAUUGAACGCUGGCGGCAGGCUUAACACAUGCAAGUCGAGCGGGGAAGGGUAGCUUGCUACCUGACCUAGCGGCGGACGGGUGAGUAAUGCUUAGGAAUCUGCCUAUUAGAGGGGGACAACAUUCCGAAAGGAAUGCUAAUACCGCAUACGCCCUACGGGGGAAAGCAGGGGAUCUUCGGACCUUGCGCUAAUAGAUGAGCCUAAGUCAGAUUAGCUAGUUGGUGGGGUAAAGGCCUACCAAGGCGACGAUCUGUAGCGGGUCUGAGAGGAUGAUCCGCCACACUGGGACUGAGACACGGCCCAGACUCCUACGGGAGGCAGCAGUGGGGAAUAUUGGACAAUGGGCGAAAGCCUGAUCCAGCCAUGCCGCGUGUGUGAAGAAGGCCUUUUGGUUGUAAAGCACUUUAAGCGAGGAGGAGGCUACUUAGAUUAAUACUCUAGGAUAGUGGACGUUACUCGCAGAAUAAGCACCGGCUAACUCUGUGCCAGCAGCCGCGGUAAUACAGAGGGUGCGAGCGUUAAUCGGAUUUACUGGGCGUAAAGCGUGCGUAGGCGGCUUCUUAAGUCGGAUGUGAAAUCCCUGAGCUUAACUUAGGAAUUGCAUUCGAUACUGGGAAGCUAGAGUAUGGGAGAGGAUGGUAGAAUUCCAGGUGUAGCGGUGAAAUGCGUAGAGACCUGGAGGAAUACCGAUGGCGAAGGCAGCCAUCUGGCCUAAUACUGACGCUGAGGUACGAAAGCAUGGGGAGCAAACAGGAUUAGAUACCCUGGUAGUCCAUGCCGUAAACGAUGUCUACUAGCCGUUGGGGCCUUUGAGGCUUUAGUGGCGCAGCUAACGCGAUAAGUAGACCGCCUGGGGAGUACGGUCGCAAGACUAAAACUCAAAUGAAUUGACGGGGGCCCGCACAAGCGGUGGUGAUACUGACCUUAGUCAAAG
RNAcentral lists this ribosomal RNA (955 nucleotides) under uncultured bacterium. RNAcentral's name for it is "bacterial SSU rRNA". It matches the Rfam family "Bacterial small subunit ribosomal RNA", at positions 1 to 956 of the family's 1533-position model. The record is from RNAcentral.